ACUCCUCCCGCUGCCAAAGCUCUGGAGCCAGCUCGGGCCGGAGGCCACCGCCGGCCACCGCUUGGCAGCUCGCACUGGUGCUCAGUGUGUCGCCCAUGUGCUCGGCCGGCUCCGCAGCACAACCCUGUAGGGCUCAGCGCUGGCCAGCCCGAGGCCUGCCUUGCCAGCGGCGCCACCGAGCUCCUCGAGGCCCGAGGCCGCCAAAGGCGGGAAGACACGGCGGCGGGGAGCCAGGGUCGCAACGCUGAGGCCCCGAGGGGGCGACGCUCGGCUCCCGUCGGGCGUGGCGAGCGGCAGUGGAUUCACUCACCACGGUUCGGCGGGGCAGCGCGCCGGGGGUCCGAGACAGGGCCCGGCGCAGCCUCCGCGCCCUGCCCGAGCGGGUCCCGGCCGAGCUCUCGGAGCCACUGUCGUCGGAGAUCACGAUAAAGUCCUCCAUGGCUACGGGCCCGGCGGAGCCACGCGCGAGCGGCGAGCGGCCCCGGCGACUCCGACUCCGGUUCCAGCUGCUGAAGCGACUGCAGCGAAGGCGUCGCAGACACCGGGCGAUGCUGCCUAAAACGUGGGAAGUACAGAGUCCCUGACACAGGAAUUUCUGAAGAGCACCUUGCCAACAAGUGAUGGAAUGGAACAACAUGCCACUGGAUGAUACCGUCAUGUCAGCAUCACGGAGUGCACUCACCCUCUCCUGUGUGCUACAACCUCCUUCCUGUGCUCUGUGGUUGGUCCAGCACAGCCGUGUAAGGGUCUCCACCAGGGAAAGAAAGCAGUAUUGGUGUCUGUGAAGACAACCCAGAGAGAUGCACUGUGAGUCUCCAACCUCAGCAUGAGUUGUCACAUUGGAAGGCCCCUGUCAGUGCCUGCUUCUGCUGAUUGGGAUGGCAAAGAAGAUAAAGGCGGAAGCAGGAACUGUGAAGGUGUUGAAAGGCAGACCUAGCACAGGGAGAGGAGGCCCAGGCAGAAGCCCAGUUUCCUAUGAGCUGAUGAGCCUCCUGGAGAUUUAUAAUCUGACUGCUUGACCUUGACUUCCAACAAUAGGAAGUCAUAGCCUUCCAUAGCCCCAGGGCUGAGGGAGUACUGGUCCCUUGUGUUGUUGUGCACACCCCCCCCCCCCCCCUGUGACAGGAUAAAUCUAUUACAACUUUAGCAAUUGAUUAGCUGGCCACUUGAGGGCCUUUGAGAUUUUUUUUUUUUUUUUUUUUUUGCCCCAGGGCUCUGAGGCUGGUUUUAUUGGUUCCUCUAAUCUCUUCCCACAAGAGUUUAUGAUCUGUAUAAAGCUUUGUGGUUCCAUCUGCUUUCCAGAGAGCCUGUAUCACAACUGAAGAGUUCCUGCUGGCCCAAGAGCACCAAGUAGUGGGUAGUGUCAGUCACAGCUUUCUUCUAAGGGGUUUCUAAUAAGCUUUGUUGGUCUUCCCAAUGCACUACCAAAAUCCAGUAGAAUUGUUACAAAGGGCAGAGCUGGCAGUGCUUUCUUGGUGGGUUUUUUUUUUUUUUAUGUGUAUGUGCAUUUUUGCCUGCAUGGCUGUGCACCACAUGGGCUCUGUGCUCAGAGGUCAGAAGAGAGUGUCAGAUACGAUACCCUGGAACUGAGGUGUGAGCUGGGGUGGUGCGGGUGCUGGGGCUCUAACCUGGGUCAUCUGUAAGAGCAGCCAGUGCUCUUACUUAGCCUCCGGGGCAUCUCUCCAGUCCCAUGAUUGUAGAGCUUUUAUAACUGUGUGGCUGGGUGCAUUGUAUAUGCCUUUAAUCCCAGCACUCAGGAGGCAGAAGCAGGAAAAUCUGUGAGUUUGAGGCUCGCCUGGGUUAGUUACAUGGUAAGUUUCAGGACACCCAGGUCUAUGCAGAGAGACUCUGUCUCAACAAACAAAUAUAUAAUUGUGAUAUGUUUGUGUGUGUGCACACACACAGGAGGAAGGAGAGGGGGAAGAAGAGGGAGGGAGAGAGGGGGAGACAGAGAUAGAGAGAGAGAGACAGAGAGAGAUGUUAUUCCAAGUCUUAUCAGAAUAAUCCCAUCUUACUGCAAACUACUGUUUGUCUCAUGAAGCAUUUAUUUGCUAUAAGUCAUGUUUGCAGUAUUUUCCAAGACCAGCAUGAUCCCCAAUAAGGGUAUGAUCCCCAAUAAGGGUAAAGGCCAGUUCUAUCAAGUUACAUUAAGUCUGUAGUAGAUAUAGAGCCAUGUAAGUAGGAGCUUGUGUUAUGUGACAAACGUUUUCCUGGGGAGACUCAACACACAUCUACUCACCCCAGACAGAGGUCCCUCAAAAGAACAAAGCACAGAUAACAAAGUCCAACUUGGAGAACCAAUGAGUUUUAUUGGGGAUACUUAUAGGAGUAUGGGGAAGGGGACACUUACAGGAGCAGAAACGACUUAAAGACCUCAGCAUCACUAAGACCACUUGUCUUAAUUAGGGUUUUACUGCUGUGUACAGACUCCAUGAUAAAGGCAAGUCUUAUAAAAACAACAUUUAAUUGGGGUUGGCUUACAAGUUCAAAGGUUCAGUCCAUUAUUAUCAAGGUGGGAGCAUGGCAGCAUCCAGGCAGGCAUGGAGCUGGCAGAGCUGAGAGUUCUACAUCUUCAUCCAAAGGCUGCUAGUGGAAAACUGACUUCCAGGCAACUAGGGUGAGGAUCUUAUGCCCACACCCACAGUGACACACCCACUCCAACCAGGUCACACCUAUUCCAACAAGGCCACACCUCCAAAUGGUGCCACUCCCUGGUCCAAGAAUAUACAAACCAUCACAUUCCACUGGCCCCCAUAGACUUGUUCAAACACAUGAGUCUAUGGGGGGGGGGCACACUUAAACAUAGCAUAAUGCAAAAUGCAUUUAGUCCAACUUUUAAAGUCCUCAUAGUCUAUAGCAGUCUCAACAAUGUUAAAAGUCCAAAGUUCAAGGUCUCUUCUGAGAUUCAUCCAAUCACUUAACUGUAAUCCCCAAAGAAAGACAGGGAACCAGCUGUGCAAACUCCAAACUCUGCAUCUCCAUGGCUGAUGUCAAAGCAGUCUUCAGAUUUCCACUCCUUUUUCAUCUUUGUUGACUGCAACAAUCUGCUUUCUCCUGGGCUGGUUCCAUGCCCUGUUAGCAGCUUUCCUCAGCAUGUAUCCCA
Molecule: long non-coding RNA, 3103 nt
Organism: Mus musculus (house mouse)
Lineage: Eukaryota; Metazoa; Chordata; Mammalia; Rodentia; Muridae
Product: predicted gene, 53205
Exons: 3
Source: RefSeq, marked validated